GACGAACGCUGGCGGCGUGCUUAACACAUGCAAGUCGAACGGAAAGGCCCCUUUGGGGGUACUCGAGUGGCGAACGGGUGAGUAACACGUGAGUAACCUGCCCUUGACUUCGGGAUAACUUCAGGAAACUGGGGCUAAUACCGGAUAGGAAUCCUUGCUGCAUGGUGGGGGUUGGAAAGCUUCGGCGGUUUUGGAUGGACUCGCGGCUUAUCAGCUUGUUGGUGGGGUAGUGGCUUACCAAGGCUUUGACGGGUAGCCGGCCUGAGAGGGCGACCGGCCACAUUGGGACUGAGAUACGGCCCAGACUCCUACGGGAGGCAGCAGGGGGGAAUAUUGCACAAUGGGCGGAAGCCGGAUGCAGCAACGCCGCGUGCGGGAUGACGGCCUUCGGGUUGUAAACCGCAUUCAGCAGGGGCGAAGCUUGUGGUGACGGUACCUGCAGAAGAAGCACCGGCUAACUACGUG
RNAcentral lists this ribosomal RNA (465 nucleotides) under uncultured bacterium. RNAcentral's name for it is "partial 16S ribosomal RNA". It matches the Rfam family "Bacterial small subunit ribosomal RNA", at positions 28 to 507 of the family's 1533-position model. The record is from RNAcentral.